RNAcentral lists this ribosomal RNA (253 nucleotides) under uncultured bacterium. RNAcentral's name for it is "partial 16S ribosomal RNA". It matches the Rfam family "Bacterial small subunit ribosomal RNA", at positions 524 to 776 of the family's 1533-position model. The record is from RNAcentral.
UACGUAGGGCGCAAGCGUUAAUCGGAAUUACUGGGCGUAAAGCGUGCGCAGGCGGUGAUGUAAGACAGUUGUGAAAUCCCCGGGCUCAACCUGGGAACUGCAUCUGUGACUGCAUUGCUGGAGUGCGGCAGAGGGGGAUGGAAUUCCGCGUGUAGCAGUGAAAUGCGUAGAUAUGCGGAGGAACACCGAUGGCGAAGGCAAUCCCCUGGGCCUGCACUGACGCUCAUGCACGAAAGCGUGGGGAGCAAACAGG